CCGGUUUUUUUUUUUUUUUUUUUUUUUUUUUUUUUUUUUUUUUUUUUUUUGAGACAGUCUCACUCUGUUGCCCAGCCUGGAUUGCAGUGACAUGAUCACAGCUCACUACAACCUCAACCUCCCUGGGAUCAAGCUAUCCUCCCAUCUUAGCUUCCCAAGUCAUUGGGACUACAGGGAAUGUGCCGCUGUGCCCAGCCAAACUGGAUCUUCAGUAUGUUUAUGUAACUUUCCGGGAGCAGAGGUAGGGUGUUACAGAAAGGGCAUCUACUUUAGUACAAGCAGAGAGGCAAUACUUGUUUAAGAAAUAGGAGAAACAAAAUCUUAAUAAACAUGGAUGCUUUUGUUGAGAAGAAAUAAAAAACAAAGUUUUCCAGCUGAGGCUUGAUUAGAGAGAGAAAGAAAGCUUUCACAAAGCCAGGAAGGGAAGUCUGGAAUUGAGGCAAAAGGCCAUUGGCAAAUCUCAGUGAAGGUUUAUUGAACACUUUCUAUGUGUUCCCAGGAUUCUGAGGAAACAGAGAUGAGUUGGAUACGGCCCUGCCCUGAAGGAGUUUGCAGGUUAUAGCCAAUGAUAAGUGGGAAAGUGGACUCUUAAAAAGACUAGUUUGACAAGAUUAUAUAGAAGAGAUGGAAAGUUAAGAAACCCUAAGCACAAAAGUUGAGGCAGAAUCCAAACUGAAGGCAAAGUAUGUCUAGCAGGUCAUUUUAGGGACAUUGAUUUGUUUGGCUUCUUCUUCCCCAGUGUUUUCAGCUUUGGAGCUUCAAUCGAACUUUUGAGACAAGAAGGUAAGUUAAGGUUUCUAAAAUUGCAAGAAAAAUUUCUUAUAGUAUAAAUACAUACUGUGCAACAUUCACUGUUUAUGUGAAAUUUAAUUUGACUGGGCAUAUUGUAUUUUGCAAUGCAUUUGCUUAUUCUAGUCAUUGUUCCUAAAUGUCAUUCAUCCUCUGCAAUUGAUGUACUUGAUUGUGUUCUGUGUUUAUUUACAGAGGAAAGACAAGAAAAGUGUCUUCUUCACAAUUUUAUUAUUUUGGUGUCAAAGAUUCCAGUUGAUUAUCCCUUUCUAUCUCCAAAGUCUGGCAAACCCUACUUACCUCCCCAACUGCUUUCGAAAGCAUAAACAAAAUAAAAUAACAUCAUCAAAGAUUCCAGAAGAUUGGGAAAGGUGUGGAAGGUAGUGAUUAAAGUAUAGUUGUAAGGGCCCUUUGACAUCAAUUUUAUUCUCUCAGGGGGCUUAAAGUGUUUCUUUUCUGCUUCCUUUACUACAAAGAUAUUUCACUCAAACUCUAUCUUGUUAUAGACUCUUGAAAACUGGGGAUAUGGUUUCUAGCCUUGUAAUUUGUGUAAUAAAAUGUCAGUCAUAAAAACCACUGGGAAUCUGGGACAUUUGUAAUGAUUGGGCUGUCGUUAAAAUACAUGAUUGCUCAAAGGUAUGGCUUAACCCAGGAAAACACAAACCACAAUAAAAGGUCACAUGGAAGAUACAGGCAUGGGCAGGCAUCACUUGGUGGCAAGCAACAGAAAUCCCUUAAGAAAGCGCGAGUGAAAAGCAAUUUAUUUCAGGGGACUCUGAUGGUAUUUUGAAGAAGGUAUAACUCCUGGAACUGGAAAGCUUUGAGAUACUUAUCUCUCUCUCUCUCUCUGUCUCUGCCUCUCUCUUUCUCUCUGCCUCUCUCUGUCUCUCUCCCUCACGAAUCUCCCAUAGUAUUGGGUGUAAUCUUCACCUAUUCCAAAAUGUAGUAAGCACCUUAGUUUACAUGGCUUUCCAAGUCUUGCACCUGUGGCUAAAUAACUACAGUGUUGGUGUCUGAAUUCAACUUCCUGUGAAGGAGACCCUUGAGUGCCUACCCUUCAUCAGGUGUUCAUCAGUAGGAUGGGGGAAGGGUCCCAUGGCUCCCGAUGUCUUUAACAGGACUCUGGGCAUGGAUUUGGGCAGUUAAUUAGACAGAGCAGCUAAAUCAAGUGACAUAUUUUCCUUUAAUUGCUCCUAACUAGAAUAAGAGGAUGAUUUGUGUCCUGAUUUUUAUGAACUUUUGCAUUCUUUCUCAAGUUCUAAAUUCAUUGAGUAAAUCCUUCAGAACAUUUGACCUUGUAUUAUGGGUUUUGUGGUUUAAAUUUCCCAUGAAGUUAAUUAUACCAUGGACAGUAUUGGGGUGAAAGUAUAGUCCCUAAGAUCAUGUUUAAAAUGUUUUGUCUCAGAAUUUUAAUACCCCUUUUGGCCUGUAAACACUUUGUAGCACCAUGAUAAGCAAAGACAGUAUUUGAUGCAGGUCAGUUUUAAGUGGGAGAAGGAGGAGUCUCUUUAAUUUAGAGAGGCUUAAUAAAGGACAUUUCACUGAACAAUUGGUUAUAACAAUUGAGUUUUCUAGAGGUUUUUUU
RNAcentral lists this long non-coding RNA (2374 nucleotides) under Homo sapiens (human). RNAcentral's name for it is "long non-coding RNA NONHSAT195545.1". The record is from RNAcentral. Lineage: Eukaryota; Metazoa; Chordata; Mammalia; Primates; Hominidae.